UACGUAGGGUGCGAGCGUUGUCCGGAAUUAUUGGGCGUAAAGGGCUCGUAGGCGGUUUGUCGCGUCGGGAGUGAAAACCAGGUGCUUAACACCUGGCUUGCUUUCGAUACGGGCAGACUAGAGGUAUUCAGGGGAGAACGGAAUUCCUGGUGUAGCGGUGAAAUGCGCAGAUAUCAGGAGGAACACCGACGGCGAAGGCAGCUUACUGGGCCGAUACUGACGCUGAGGAGCGAAAGCGUGGGGAGCGAACAGG
Molecule: ribosomal RNA, 253 nt
Filed under: uncultured bacterium
Lineage: Bacteria
Description: partial 16S ribosomal RNA
Rfam family: Bacterial small subunit ribosomal RNA
Source: RNAcentral